This 207-nucleotide ribosomal RNA is filed under the name uncultured bacterium. Its description in RNAcentral is "partial 16S ribosomal RNA". It matches the Rfam family "Bacterial small subunit ribosomal RNA", at positions 568 to 774 of the family's 1533-position model. The record is from RNAcentral.
CGCGUAGGCGGUUUAAUAAGUUAGAUGUGAAAUUCCGGGGCUCAACCCCGGAGCUGCAUUUAAAACUAUUUAACUAGAGUACAAUUAGGGUAAACGGAAUUCCACGUGUAGCGGUGAAAUGCGUAGAUAUGUGGAAGAACACCGGUGGUGAAGACGGUUUACUGGGUUGUAACUGACGCUGAGGCGCGAAAGCUAGGGGAGCAAACA